RNAcentral lists this ribosomal RNA (400 nucleotides) under uncultured bacterium. Its description in RNAcentral is "bacterial SSU rRNA". It matches the Rfam family "Bacterial small subunit ribosomal RNA", at positions 355 to 752 of the family's 1533-position model. The record is from RNAcentral.
UGAGGAAUAUUGGACAAUGGGCGCAAGCCUGAUCCAGCCAUGCCGCGUGCAGGAUGAAGCAUCUAUGGUGUGUAAACUGCUUUUGUACGGGAAGAAACACCCCUUCGUGAAGGGGCUUGACGGUACCGUAAGAAUAAGGAUCGGCUAACUCCGUGCCAGCAGCCGCGGUAAUACGGAGGAUCCAAGCGUUAUCCGGAAUCAUUGGGUUUAAAGGGUCCGUAGGCGGGCCUGUAAGUCAGUGGUGAAAUCUCCCCGCUCAACGGGGAAACGGCCAUUGAUACUGCAGGUCUUGAAUUAUUAGGAAGUAACUAGAAUAUGUAGUGUAGCGGUGAAAUGCUUAGAGAUUACAUGGAAUACCAAUUGCGAAGGCAGGUUACUACUAAUGGAUUGACGCUGAUGG